GAAAUGCGAUAAGUAGUGUGAAUUGCAGAAUUCAGUGAAUCAUCGAAUCUUUGAACGCACAUUGCGCCCUUUGGUAUUCCUUAGGGCAUGCCUGUUCGAGCGUCAUUUAAACCCUUCAAGCUCAGCUUGGUGUUGGGUGACUGUCCGCCGCCUACGGGCGUGGACUCGCCCCAAAUCCAUUGGCGGCCGGUACGUAGGCUUCGAGCGCAGCAGAAACGCGAACUCGGGCCCGCGGUGUCGGCUCCCAGAAGCCAUCUCUUCUAUUUUGACCUCGGAUCAGGUAGGGAUACCCGCUGAACUUAAGC
RNAcentral lists this unclassified non-coding RNA (305 nucleotides) under plant metagenome. Its description in RNAcentral is "partial contains 5.8S ribosomal RNA, internal transcribed spacer 2, and large subunit ribosomal RNA". The stretch from base 1 to 105 matches the Rfam family "5.8S ribosomal RNA", at positions 50 to 154 of the family's 154-position model. The record is from RNAcentral.